Long non-coding RNA from Astatotilapia calliptera (eastern happy), 1342 nucleotides. NCBI's taxonomy places the organism in Eukaryota, Metazoa, Chordata, Actinopteri, Cichliformes, Cichlidae. The record is from Ensembl.
AUGAUGCCCUGAGCAUUUCUCAUUCACUCACUCAUUUUCAUUCUGUUUUUGCACAACUUUGCAUUUAAUUAUUAUUUAUUAUUAAUCUCUGUCUCUCUCUUCCAUUCCAUUGUCUUUUGUUCUGUCUCUCUCCCCUCACCCCCAAAGAACUGCGACAGAUGGCCCCGCCCCUCCCUGAGCCUGGUUCUGCUGGAGGUUUCAUCCUGUUAAAAUGAGUUUUUCUUCCCACAGUUGCCAAGUGCUUGCUUAGAGGGGGUCAUCUGAUUUUUGGGGUUUCGUUCUAAUAUUGAAGGGUCUUUACCAUAUGAUAUAAAAUGUCUUGAGGUGACUUGUUGUGAAUUGGUACUACCGAAUUAUAACUGAAUUGUAUUUUACAUUUAAAAUCUCAAUCUGAAUCUUAAUGUAAAUCCUUGCUCAGUUUACAAAGUAGAUGUUCAAAUGGAAGAUGUGGCAGAUUUAAAAACCCUCUACAGCAUUUUCUUUUCCUCAUUCAAGUCUGUCCCAUAUCUAGCAAGUGAAAAUAAAAGAAAUAAAAAAAAAUAAAAUAAACAAUAAAAGGUGAAUCAAAUAGACCAUUACGGCAAGGCUGGGAUGGUCAAUAAGAAAAGAAAAGAAAAAAACAAAAACAAACCCUCAACAGCAGAUUAACAGAAGUUGUGUCCUUAAGAAACAGGGAAACAUGCUGUUUCGUAAGGACACAGAACACACAGAAACAGUAAAGCCCUGACACAGAACCUGUGAGACGUCCUUCAGUUAAUCCAGCUACUGUUCACCAAAGCUGCAUCAGAAGUGGUCUCAGUGGAAGGCCGGCUGUCAACAAGCCAAUUUCUAAGGGAGAAAAAGCUGUAGUAUGUCAAAUUAUUCAAAAUUAUUUCCCAUUUUUAUAGUAAAGUUUAAAGAAAUGAGGGUGACUCAAGCAUUUACACAAUAUUUAAUAGGAAUAUAGUUUAUUUUUAUUUAAAUAUUAAAAGAAAAACUAAAAAAAAAUCCAGGAGAUAAAAUCUAACACCUAAAUGGGUGUUCUGGAAAUUUUCUGUUCCCAGCCCCAAAAGAAGAUGUAAUGGAUUAAAACUGCUGUUCAACAUUAUAGCAGUAUUUACACACGAGUGCAGCAGUCAGCCAGGUCAGCAUGUGUGUGCUUGCUGGUAGCUGUUUUUACCUCCUAGCACUUACUCUUAAACACACAAAGGACAAAACUUCUAGCCUGAUGCCAAGAAUGAGAACUUCUUUGGUAGAGACUGAGACUGAGGUCAAAGGUUGCAGUAAUAGGUUAGUAAGGCAAAUAUAUUUAUAUAUUUUAUAUAUUUAUAUACGUUUUCAUGAGCGUGUUUAUGUUUAUCAG